CAGAUAAGGAGCUUGCUCCUUUGACGUUAGCGGCGGACGGGUGAGUAACACGUGGGUAACCUACCUAUAAGACUGGAAUAACUCCGGGAAACCGGGGCUAAUGCCGGAUAACAUUUAGAACCGCAUGGUUCUAAAGUGAAAGAUGGUUUUGCUAUCACUUAUAGAUGGACCCGCGCCGUAUUAGCUAGUUGGUAAGGUAACGGCUUACCAAGGCAACGAUACGUAGCCGACCUGAGAGGGUGAUCGGCCACACUGGAACUGAGACACGGUCCAGACUCCUACGGGAGGCAGCAGUAGGGAAUCUUCCGCAAUGGGCGAAAGCCUGACGGAGCAACGCCGCGUGAGUGAUGAAGGUCUUCGGAUCGUAAAACUCUGUUAUUAGGGAAGAACAAAUGUGUAAGUAACUAUGCACGUCUUGACGGUACCUAAUCAGAAAGCCACGGCUAACUACGUGCCAGCAGCCGCGGUAAUACGUAGGUGGCAAGCGUUAUCCGGAAUUAUUGGGCGUAAAGCGCGCGUAGGCGGUUUCUUAAGUCUGAUGUGAAAGCCCACGGCUCAACCGUGGAGGGUCAUUGGAAACUGGGAAACUUGAGUGCAGAAGAGGAAAGUGGAAUUCCAUGUGUAGCGGUGAAAUGCGCAGAGAUAUGGAGGAACACCAGUGGCGAAGGCGACUUUCUGGUCUGUAACUGACGCUGAUGUGCGAAAGCGUGGGGAUCAAACAGGAUUAGAUACCCUGGUAGUCCACGCCGUAAACGAUGAGUGCUAAGUGUUUAGGGGGUUUCCGCCCCUUAGUGCUGCAGCUAACGCAUUAAGCACUCCGCCUGGGGAGUACGACCGCAAGGUUGAAACUCAAAGGAAUUGACGGGGACCCGCACAAGCGGUGGAAGCAUGUGGUUUAAUUCGAAGCAACGCGAAGAACCUUACCAAAUCUUGACAUCCUUUGACAACUCUAGAGAUAGAGCCUUCCCCUUCGGGGGACAAAGUGACAGG
Molecule: ribosomal RNA, 990 nt
Filed under: Staphylococcus cohnii
Lineage: Bacteria; Bacillati; Bacillota; Bacilli; Caryophanales; Staphylococcaceae
Description: bacterial SSU rRNA
Rfam family: Bacterial small subunit ribosomal RNA
Source: RNAcentral